ACAACGAAGAGUUUGAUCCUGGCUCAGGAUGAACGCUAGCGACAGGCUUAACACAUGCAAGUCGAGGGGCAGCACAGGUAGCAAUACCGGGUGGCGACCGGCGCACGGGUGAGUAACGCGUAUGCAACUUACCUAUCAGAGGGGGAUAACCCGGCGAAAGUCGGACUAAUACCGCAUGAAGCAGGGGCCCCGCAUGGGGAUAUUUGCUAAAGAUUCAUCGCUGAUAGAUAGGCAUGCGUUCCAUUAGGCAGUUGGCGGGGUAACGGCCCACCAAACCGACGAUGGAUAGGGGUUCUGAGAGGAAGGUCCCCCACAUUGGUACUGAGACACGGACCAAACUCCUACGGGAGGCAGCAGUGAGGAAUAUUGGUCAAUGGGCGUAAGCCUGAACCAGCCAAGUCGCGUGAGGGAUGAAGGUUCUAUGGAUCGUAAACCUCUUUUAUAAGGGAAUAAAGUGCGGGACGUGUCCCGUUUUGUAUGUACCUUAUGAAUAAGGAUCGGCUAACUCCGUGCCAGCAGCCGCGGUAAUACGGAGGAUCCGAGCGUUAUCCGGAUUUAUUGGGUUUAAAGGGUGCGUAGGCGGCCUUUUAAGUCAGCGGUGAAAGUCUGUGGCUCAACCAUAGAAUUGCCGUUGAAACUGGGGGGCUUGAGUAUGUUUGAGGCAGGCGGAAUGCGUGGUGUAGCGGUGAAAUGCUUAGAUAUCACGCAGAACCCCGAUUGCGAAGGCAGCCUGCCAAGCCAUGACUGACGCUGAUGCACGAAAGCGUGGGGAUCAAACAGGAUUAGAUACCCUGGUAGUCCACGCAGUAAACGAUGAUCACUAGCUGUUUGCGAUACACUGUAAGCGGCACAGCGAAAGCGUUAAGUGAUCCACCUGGGGAGUACGCCGGCAACGGUGAAACUCAAAGGAAUUGACGGGGGCCCGCACAAGCGGAGGAACAUGUGGUUUAAUUCGAUGAUACGCGAGGAACCUUACCCGGGUUUGAACGCAUUCGGACCGAGGUGGAAACACCUUUUCUAGCAAUAGCCGUUUGCGAGGUGCUGCAUGGUUGUCGUCAGCUCGUGCCGUGAGGUGUCGGCUUAAGUGCCAUAACGAGCGCAACCCUUGCCACUAGUUACUAACAGGUAAAGCUGAGGACUCUGGUGGGACUGCCAGCGUAAGCUGCGAGGAAGGCGGGGAUGACGUCAAAUCAGCACGGCCCUUACAUCCGGGGCGACACACGUGUUACAAUGGCGUGGACAAAGGGAGGCCACCUGGCGACAGGGAGCGAAUCCCCAAACCACGUCUCAGUUCGGAUCGGAGUCUGCAACCCGACUCCGUGAAGCUGGAUUCGCUAGUAAUCGCGCAUCAGCCAUGGCGCGGUGAAUACGUUCCCGGGCCUUGUACACACCGCCCGUCAAGCCAUGGGAGCCGGGGGUACCUGAAGUCCGUAACCGAAAGGAUCGGCCUAGGGUAAAACUGGUGACUGGGGCUAAGUCGUAACAAGGUAGCCGUACCGGAAGGUGCGGCUGGAACACCUCCUUU
Molecule: ribosomal RNA, 1525 nt
Filed under: Parabacteroides distasonis
Lineage: Bacteria; Pseudomonadati; Bacteroidota; Bacteroidia; Bacteroidales; Tannerellaceae
Description: bacterial SSU rRNA
Rfam family: Bacterial small subunit ribosomal RNA
Source: RNAcentral